This 338-nucleotide unclassified non-coding RNA is filed under the name soil metagenome. RNAcentral describes it as "partial contains 5.8S ribosomal RNA, internal transcribed spacer 2, and large subunit ribosomal RNA". The stretch from base 1 to 120 matches the Rfam family "5.8S ribosomal RNA", at positions 35 to 154 of the family's 154-position model. The record is from RNAcentral.
GAUGAAGAACGUAGCGAAAUGCGAUAAGUAAUGUGAAUUGCAGAAUUCAGUGAAUCAUCGAAUCUUUGAACGCACAUUGCGCCCUCUGGUAUUCCGGAGGGCAUGCCUGUUCGAGCGUCAUUUCGACCCUCAAGCAUUGCUUGGUGUUGGGGCACCGCCUGUAAAAGGGCGGGCCCUGAAAUCUAGUGGCGAGCUCGCCAGGACCCCGAGCGUAGUAAUUAUAUUUCGUUCUGGAAGGCCCUGGCGGUGCCCUGCCGUUAAACCCCCAACUUCUGAAAAUUUGACCUCGGAUCAGGUAGGAAUACCCGCUGAACUUAAGCAUAUCAAUAACGGGAGGA